Molecule: ribosomal RNA, 423 nt
Filed under: uncultured eukaryote
Lineage: Eukaryota
Description: bacterial SSU rRNA
Rfam family: Eukaryotic small subunit ribosomal RNA
Source: RNAcentral
CAAUAGCGUAUAUUAAAGUUGUUGCGGUUAAAAAGCUCGUAGUUGGAUUUCUGCAUGGAAGGAGCGGUCUGCCUUUUGGGUUUGUAACUGUAACUUUCGUGCAUCUUUCUGAUGAAACGUUCUUCACUUCAUUGUGGGGGCGCAUGACUCAGAACUUUUACUUUGAGGAAAUGAGAGUGUUUCAAGCAGGCAAAUGCCUUGAAUACGUUAGCAUGGAAUAAUAAGAUAAGACUUGGGUCAUUAUUUUGUUGGUUUGCGGAUCGAGGUAAUGAUUAAUAGGGAUAGUUGGGGGUAUUCAUAUUUAAUUGUCAGAGGUGAAAUUCUUGGAUUUAUGAAAGAUGAACUUAAGGCGAAAGCAUUUACCAAGGAUGUUUUCAUUAAUCAAGAACGAAAGUUAGGGAGUCGAAGACGAUCAGAUACCGU